Molecule: ribosomal RNA, 439 nt
Filed under: uncultured bacterium
Lineage: Bacteria
Description: partial 16S ribosomal RNA
Rfam family: Bacterial small subunit ribosomal RNA
Source: RNAcentral
CUACGGGUGGCAGCAGUGGGGAAUAUUGCACAAUGGGGGAAACCCUGAUGCAGCAACGCCGCGUGGAGGAUGACGCAUUUCGGUGUGUAAACUCCUUUUAUAUAGGAAGAUAAUGACGGUACUAUAUGAAUAAGCACCGGCUAACUCCGUGCCAGCAGCCGCGGUAAUACGGAGGGUGCAAGCGUUACUCGGAAUCACUGGGCGUAAAGCGCGCGCAGGCGGCCUUUUAAGUUGGAUGUGAAAGCCUAUGGCUUAACCAUAGAACUGCAUCCAAAACUAUCAGGCUAGAGUCUGGGAGGGGAAGAUGGAAUUAGUUGUGUAGGGGUAAAAUCCGUAGAGAUAACUAGGAAUACCAAAAGCGGAGGCGAUCUUCUGGAACAGUACUGACGCUGAGGCGCGAAAGCGUGGGGAGCAAACAGGAUUAGAUACCCUCGUAGUC